Molecule: ribosomal RNA, 468 nt
Filed under: uncultured bacterium
Lineage: Bacteria
Description: partial 16S ribosomal RNA
Rfam family: Bacterial small subunit ribosomal RNA
Source: RNAcentral
GACGAACGCUGGCGGCGUGCUUAACACAUGCAAGUCGAACGGAAAGGCCCUGCGUUUGUGGGGUGCUCGAGAGGCGAACGGGUGAGUAACACGUGAGUAACCUGCCCCUGACAUUGGGAUAACUUCUGGAAACUGGGGCUAGUACCGGAUAGCAUCUCCUGCUGCAUGGUGGGGGUAGGUAAGCUUCGGCGGUUGGGGCUGGACUCGCGGCUUAUCAGCUGGUUGGUGGGGUAGUGGCUUACCAAGGCUUGGACGGGUAGCCGGCCUGAGAGGGUGACCGGCCACAUUGGGACUGAGAUACGGCCCAGACUCCUACGGGAGGCAGCAGUGGGGAAUAUUGCGCAAUGGGCGGAAGCCUGAGGCAGCGACGCCGCGUGCGGGAUGACGGCCUUCGGGUUGUAAACCGCUUUCGCCUGUGACGAAGCGAGAGUGACGGUAACUGGUGAAGAAGCACCGGCUAACUACGUG